UGAAGAUCUUAAGUUUCAAUCUUUAUGAAA
RNAcentral lists this non-coding RNA (30 nucleotides) under Mus musculus (house mouse). Lineage: Eukaryota; Metazoa; Chordata; Mammalia; Rodentia; Muridae. The record is from RNAcentral.